This 309-nucleotide small RNA is filed under the name uncultured bacterium. Its description in RNAcentral is "bacterial SSU rRNA". It matches the Rfam family "Bacterial small subunit ribosomal RNA", at positions 70 to 357 of the family's 1533-position model. The record is from RNAcentral.
GAAGGGAGCUUCGGCUCCUGGAAAGCGGCGAACGGGUGAGUAACACGUGGGCAACCUGCCUCAAGGACUGGGAUAACUUCGGGAAACCGGAGCUAAUACCGGAUAAUUCUUUUCUACACAUGUAGAAAAGCUGAAAGACGGUUUCGGCUGUCACUUACAGAUGGGCCCGCGGCGCAUUAGCUAGUUGGUGAGGUAAAUGCUCACCAAGGCAGCGAUGAGUAGCCGACCUGAGAGGGUGAUCGGCCACACUGGGAUUGAGACACGGCCCAGGAUCCUACGGGAGGCAGCAGUGGAUCUUGAGAAAAACUC